RNAcentral lists this small RNA (190 nucleotides) under Acinetobacter pragensis. Its description in RNAcentral is "Aar sRNA". It matches the Rfam family "Aar sRNA". The record is from RNAcentral. Lineage: Bacteria; Pseudomonadati; Pseudomonadota; Gammaproteobacteria; Moraxellales; Moraxellaceae.
AUUAACUUUAGUUAACAUGCAGUAACCUGAAUGCUGAUGAAAUGACUUACCGUUCAUCUUACACUUGUCCUAUGUUUUUAGGGAAACCUGAAGUCAUACAUUUCUCCUUUACCGAACCUGUGAAAGCAGAUUCGUUGUUAUACGCAAUGAAAACCCCAAUCAUUGCGUAUUUUUUUUGCCUAAAAUUCUG